GCGCACCAGACGCGAAACUUCGGCAAUGGGGAAACCCUGACCGAGCGACGCCGCGUGUGGGAUGAAGGCCCUUGGGUUGCAAACCACUGUCAGAGGGGAUGAAAUGCCGGAAAGUUAUCUCUCCGGUUUGACAUAGCCUCAGAGGAAGCACGGGCUAAGUUCGUGCCAGCAGCCGCGGUAAGACGAACUGUGCAAACGUUAUUCGGAAUCACUGGGCUUGAAGAGUGCGUAGGCGGUUUCGUAAGUAGGGUGUGAAAGCCCCCGGCUCAACCGGGGAAUUGCGUCCUAAACUGCGAGGCUGGAGUGAGGUAGGGUGUGUGGAACUUCCAGUGGAGCGGUGAAAUGUGUUGAUAUUGGAAGGAACGCCGGUGGCGAAAAGCGACACACUGGACCUUGUCUGACGCUGAGGCACGAAAGCCAGGGGAGCAAAACGGGAUUAGAUACCCGCGUAGU
This 453-nucleotide ribosomal RNA is filed under the name uncultured organism. Its description in RNAcentral is "bacterial SSU rRNA". It matches the Rfam family "Bacterial small subunit ribosomal RNA", at positions 346 to 794 of the family's 1533-position model. The record is from RNAcentral.